AUUGAACGCUGGCGGAAUGCUUUACACAUGCAAGUCGAACGGCAGCAUAGGUGCUUGCACCUGAUGGCGAGUGGCGAACGGGUGAGUAAUACAUCGGAACGUGCCCAGUCGUGGGGGAUAACGUAGCGAAAGUUACGCUAAUACCGCAUACGAUCUAAGGAUGAAAGCGGGGGACCGUAAGGCCUCGCGCGAUUGGAGUGGCCGAUGUCAGAUUAGGUAGUUGGUGAGGUAAAGGCUCACCAAGCCGACGAUCUGUAGCUGGUCUGAGAGGACGACCAGCCACACUGGGACUGAGACACGGCCCAGACUCCUACGGGAGGCAGCAGUGGGGAAUUUUGGACAAUGGACGCAAGUCUGAUCCAGCCAUUCCGCGUGCAGGACGAAGGCCUUCGGGUUGUAAACUGCUUUUGUACGGAACGAAAAAGCUCUUACUAACACUAGGAGUCCAAGACGGUACCGUAAGAAUAAGCACCGGCUAACUACGUGCCAGCAGCCGCCGUAA
RNAcentral lists this ribosomal RNA (502 nucleotides) under uncultured bacterium. Its description in RNAcentral is "partial 16S ribosomal RNA". It matches the Rfam family "Bacterial small subunit ribosomal RNA", at positions 30 to 523 of the family's 1533-position model. The record is from RNAcentral.